RNAcentral lists this transfer RNA (72 nucleotides) under Pteropus alecto (black flying fox). It matches the Rfam family "tRNA". Rfam says of the family: Transfer RNA (tRNA) molecules are approximately 80 nucleotides in length. Their secondary structure includes four short double-helical elements and three loops (D, anti-codon, and T loops). RNAcentral also lists the same sequence under 1 other name. Lineage: Eukaryota; Metazoa; Chordata; Mammalia; Chiroptera; Pteropodidae. The record is from Rfam by way of RNAcentral.
GGUUCCAUAGUGUAGUGGUUAGCACAUCUGCUUUACAUGCAGAAGGUCCUGGUUCGCACCCCAGUGGGGCCA